UACGGAGGGUGCAAGCGUUGUUCGGAUUUAUUGGGCGUAAAGCGCGUGUAGGCGGUUUCUUAAGUCUGAUGUGAAAGCCCUGGGCUCAACCCAGGAAGUGCAUUGGAUACUGGGAAACUUGAAUACGGGAGAGGGUAGUGGAAUUCCUAGUGUAGGAGUGAAAUCCGUAGAUAUUAGGAGGAACACCGGUGGCGAAGGCGGCUACCUGGACCGAUAUUGACGCUGAGACGCGAAAGCGUGGGGAGCAAACAGG
This 253-nucleotide ribosomal RNA is filed under the name uncultured bacterium. Its description in RNAcentral is "partial 16S ribosomal RNA". It matches the Rfam family "Bacterial small subunit ribosomal RNA", at positions 524 to 776 of the family's 1533-position model. The record is from RNAcentral. RNAcentral also lists the same sequence under 1 other name.